CGGGCCCGCGCGGCAGCAGGAGGGGUGGGCACCGGGGGGGAAGGUGGGCUGGCGGCAGCAUCUCCCGCUCCAUCAUCCCGCUCCAUCGUCCAGCUCCAUCAAUCGUCCCGCGGCAUCCCGGCCGCCCGGGCGCGGGCACCCCGCCCCACUGGAACAGAAGGAAUUAGUAACUGCAGUGCUCGGCACCCCCCGAAGCCCGAGGGUACCUGCCGAGGGCAGGGUCACCCAGCACGGCAACAGGUUGCUCAGCCAGGCUGCGGCUUCCCUGUGUUUGGGGAUAACCGGGAUACGGUGGGACAUGGCCCCGCGCCCCCCAGAGACUCCCCCAGCUGUUAUACUGCCUCCGUCAGUGUCACAGCACAGCUGGGCUUAUGCAUUCAAUUUUUAUAAGGAUGAUCCCGGGUGGUGGAAAAUUCCCGUUACCCCCCAUUUUAUCAUGCCCAGAGUGCAGGGACAGUGUGCAGCAAACAAUACCUCGCGUGUGCCCUGCUGGCUGUUGUACCUGGUGCUCUAAUUCUAAUUAAAACGCUGGUCACUCAUCGGGCCUUCGCGGGAACAGGGAUAAUUUGUAACUCGGUAAUGUUGUAAAUACCCUACGGCGAAGGAAUUGGGAAACGAUUUACAAGGCUACAGGUAAGAGGGUUUACAUGAACACUCCGUUAUUGGGGGGGUUCGUAGGGCUGCUGGUUGUGGCACGUUUCUCCACUAAAAUUAAGGUUAUUUCUCUCACUGUCCUCGCCUGUUACACUGCUCAGGGACUGGGAAGUUUUUCCCAGUACUGACAUUUAUUUCCCUCCUAAUGCUGGAUGAAUGGCACUUUACUGGUGUGUCACCGGUAAGUGAAAAACCUCCAAAACAACCAAAACUCUUUGAUAUCCCCUCAUCCUUUUAAAAAGAUGUUCAUAGCCAUUUUAUCCCCUCCCAGGGGACUGCCCAACAUUGUCACGUUCUGCCCGUUGUUGUCAGGGCAAACACUGGAGUUGUGGUUGUUAACAACACAAGAGAUAAAGCAGGAAAUGAUCCCUGUCUGAGUCACAGAGAAAUUAUUGCUUAUUUUUCUCUUUUCUGUGAACAAGUUGCUAUUUCAGACAUUUUGACACGUUCUUGGGUCAUUGCUUUAUACAUAUAUAUAUAUAUAAAUAUAGUAAAAAAUAUAAAUACUGACUGGUAAAUUUUGUCAAGGCCUUUCCAGUCUCUGCAUUCCACUGAAUUCUUUAUGUCAGUGCCCAGCUCUCUUCACUCCAGUGGGUUCCACUCAUAUGCACAAUAAUAAGGAAUUCUUAAAUGCCAAAAUCUUGGGAAUAUCUGACUUCUUAGUGGUGAACGUCGCUGUUGAUCUAUUGCUGCCUUUCUAAAUUUAUUUAUCUAUUUAUAAACAAAAAAAAGGGGCAAAAAAAGUGAGCAGAUGAGCUUUCAGCUUUUGGCAAAGCAAUAGUUUUUACACUACCUUUAAUUUCUUCCAGGUGGAUAAUUUUGCAGAUGUUUGAGUAGUUUAAAGGAUAUUGGCAAAUGGUUAAACAGUCUUAUUAUUAAUUACUCUUUUGUUUAGGCUUUAAUUCUUGUUAUUAAUUACUCUUUUGUUUAGGCUUUAAUUCUUCCAUCCCCCUGUUUUGUAAUUGUCUUACAGCUGCAACAGCUAUAAAUAUUUUCACUUUAGUAAACCUGAUACAACUUUUCCAGUUUGUUUUCAUAAAUUUUCAUUUGGGAGGGGUUCUUUUUUAGGGAGUAAGUCUACCUUUGAAAGGAAAUUCUAGAAUUGUGGUAUAAGUCUGACCUCAAAGAGAACCCCGAGCUCAAGUUUCUGGAAACCUGUGGAGCAAAGGCCUUUUCCUUCAGUUCAACAGACAGAGCUAAAUAGCAUUUAGUGGGCAAAACUGAACCGUGCCACGGGCCCUGGAGUGAGAAAUUCCUUCGGAGAAACAAGCCUUGUGUUGUUCACCAGGAGGAUUAGCGGUUCCUAAACGCCUGAGUCAUUUCUCAGGCACGGUCCGUGUAGCUGUGACAAAGGACACUCCAGAGCUCCUGACACUCCUCUCAGCGCAGGCAAAGGCCUAUCAACACAGCAGGAAGCAAAACCAGCAGCAGCAGCAGCGUCACCUCCUUUCUCGAGAGGAGAGGAAGAGAAAACCACUGUGUCUUGCAGCAGCUAAGAAGGGCAGGGUGCUGGUAAUUUAUUCCCCAAACAGUCCCUGGCUCACUGAGGGCAGGGCUGAGCAGAAAUCUUUGGACCAACUCAGCCAAGGUAAGUGGGGCUGUGCAGUUACACCUUCCUGCCCUCUGCAGGUUUAAGGCAUCGCUCGGUGUUCUAGUGGUUCUUUUUCAGAUUUUAUUUUGCAACAACAGGCACAGGAAAUGAUGCCAGGAGCAAAACGAGUUCCCUGAGAAGAUGAAGUAACCCUGUGAUUUGCAGAUCUGGGGUCUGGGCACAGAUGAUUGAACGUUUCCAUGUCUUCUGUGUCGAGUCUUCGUGGAACCAAAGGAGGUGCAAGAGAAAGGAGCUGGGGAUGCUUCACCUGUACAAGAACAAACACUGCUCUUCAAACAACAAGGAUCAGUGCUCCUGAGGACUCCCGACAGCCAUGCCAAAAAAUGGAAACCUUCCCUAUUCGGCUUGGGAUCAGAGGAACAACUCAAAAGACAAACAUUUCAAUGCAUUCCGAGGGUUGUCCAUCAAAGAAGGAAUCAGCCAUCAAAGGCUGACACCUUCCUGUCCAGGGGUGAGUUGUCUCACCUCUCUGAGGUGGCUGCAGUCCAGUUCCUUCUGGCUCUGAUGCCUCUGCAAACGUCAGCCCUGGCAGCCACUCGUCCUGGUCCAAGUCCGUGUGUCCCUGAAAAUGAGGUAAAUGCUCUUACACUUGGUGGGACAGAGUGGAAAUCACAGACACUUUGGGGCUUCUCCACAGGUUUUCAGGCCUCUUAGUCCUGAAAAAAAAACCCAAACAAACCAAACCAAAACCGAAAAUAAAACUCCUCAGACUGUUUCUGGAGAGCUUUUCUGAAAUUUUAUCUUGUGCUGAUGUUUCCGGUUCAAAUAAGGAACCGUAAAUCAUCUGAGACCAAACAGAUGACGAGGCAUUUCAUAGAGACAUUGUGCAGUAUUUAUCUCAAACAGCUUCUGCAGGAACGGUGCUCGACAGCCGUGCAGGCCAACUGCAGGAUGAGGAUGGGGGAGCAAAACCACCUGAAACUCUUUAAUCCCAUUUUUAACGUUAUGGAAUCUCAGCACAAAACGUUUUCUCCGGGAGCCAGCUGGUGUUAGGAACACGUGACUACUACGUGGGCUAUCAACCUCUUCCAGCCAGUCUCUAAUUCCUAGAAAUUGCUUUAUGCCCAAGUCAUUACUGCCUAAUUAGAGCCCACAAGGGAAGUUCCAUGGCACUGUGGGCACAAUUGCAUGUUUGGAGGCUCCUGCCAGACACAGGGACUGUAAGUGCUUGGUUGGUCAGGCUCGUACAAAAAUGCUUUUGUAGCUGCCUUCAAGGGCUGGGAGUUUAUUGGCAGUUAUUUCACCCAUGGAUCACCAGGUUCUUAUUCAGAACCAAGACUGCAGAGUUUUCCUUUGCCCUUCCUUAUUUCUUUUGUUUUGAGUUCACUCAAAAGGUCUGGUUUUGGGGGCGGGGGGGGGGAAGACCUG
Long non-coding RNA from Pipra filicauda (Wire-tailed manakin), 3634 nucleotides. RefSeq lists it as uncharacterized. The record is from RefSeq and is a predicted model, not a curated record. NCBI's taxonomy places the organism in Eukaryota, Metazoa, Chordata, Aves, Passeriformes, Pipridae. The transcript is spliced from 4 exons.